UACGGGGGGGGCAAGCGUUGUUCGGAAUUACUGGGCGUAAAGGGUCUGUAGGUGGCUUGCUAAGUCAGACGUGAAAUCCCUCAGCUUAACUGGGGAACUGCGUGUGAAACUGGCGAGCUUGAGGGUAGGAGAGGAAUGCGGAAUUCCAGGUGUAGCGGUGAAAUGCGCAGAUAUCAGGAGGAACACCGGUGGCGAAGGCGGAUCUCUGGGCCUUACCUGACGCUGAGGCGCGAAAGCUAGGGGAGCGAACAGG
This 253-nucleotide ribosomal RNA is filed under the name uncultured bacterium. RNAcentral describes it as "partial 16S ribosomal RNA". It matches the Rfam family "Bacterial small subunit ribosomal RNA", at positions 524 to 776 of the family's 1533-position model. The record is from RNAcentral.